GUUCAAGUGAAUAUUUCACCUAAGACUCAGGUGGCGUAAGCCUCAAUCAUACCUGCCGAGGAAUUAAAAUUCUUUCUCUAUGUCUUGGUGGACAUAGGGAUUUUUUUAACAAAAA
Molecule: regulatory RNA element, 115 nt
Rfam family: Ribosomal protein L10 leader
About the family: This family is a putative r-protein leader autoregulatory structure found in B. subtilis and other low-GC Gram-positive bacteria. It is located in the 5' untranslated regions of mRNAs encoding ribosomal proteins L10 and L12 (rplJ-rplL).
Source: Rfam